This 303-nucleotide ribosomal RNA is filed under the name uncultured bacterium. RNAcentral's name for it is "partial 16S ribosomal RNA". It matches the Rfam family "Bacterial small subunit ribosomal RNA", at positions 507 to 807 of the family's 1533-position model. The record is from RNAcentral.
AGCAGCAGCCGCGGGAAUACGUAGGGUGCAAGCGUUAAUCGGAAUUACUGGGCGUAAAGCGUGCGCAGGCGGUUCGCUAAGACAGAUGUGAAAUCCCCGGGCUUAACCUGGGAACUGCAUUUGUGACUGGCGGGCUAGAGUAUGGCAGAGGGGGGUAGAAUUCCACGUGUAGCAGUGAAAUGCGUAGAGAUGUGGAGGAAUACCGAUGGCGAAGGCAGCCCCCUGGGCCAAUACUGACGCUCAUGCACGAAAGCGUGGGGAGCAAACAGGAUUAGAUACCCGAGUAGUCCCUGUCUCUUAUAC